CCAAAGAUCAGUGGCUGCCCAGGCCUUGUGCAAGGGGCAGCCGAGGGAGCUCAGGCCACAGCCACCAGACUCAGAGGCAUGGCUUUCAACGGAGCCCCACGGAGGGUGGGGGUGGUAGGUUAUGGCCGCCUCGGACAGUUUCUCGUCUCCCAUCUGCUAGCUCAGGGACCAGAACUGGGCCUAAAACUUGUUUUUGUCUGGAAUCGUGACCCAGGACGAAUGGCAGGGAGUGUGCCUCUUUCCCUGCAGCUCCAGAACCUUGCUGACCUUGGGGAAAGGCACCCUGAUCUUGUGGUGGAAGUGGCCCAUCCCCAAAUAAUACAUGAAUCUGGGGCACAAAUCCUGCAUCAUGCCAAUCUCCUGGUGGGGUCUCCCUCAGCCUUAGCUGACCAGAUAACUGAGCGGCAGCUCCUAGAGGCUUCACACUACUGGGGCCACUCUGUGUUUGUGGCCCGAGGGGCCCUGUGGGGCACUGAGGACAUCACCAGGUUGGAUGCAGCUGGAGGCCUGCAGAGCCUUCGUGUCACCAUGGCCACACACCCCGAUGGCUUUCGGCUGGAGGGACCCCUGGCUGCAGCCCACAGCAUUGGGCCUCGCACUGUGCUCUAUGAAGGCCCUGUCCGUGGGCUGUGCCCCUUUGCCCCCCAAAACUCUAACACCAUGGCAGCUGCUGCCCUGGCUGCCCCCAACCUAGGCUUCGAUCGCGUCAUUGGGGUGCUUGUGGCUGAUCUCAGCCUCACAGACAUGCAUGUGGUGGAUGUGGAGCUGCAAGGACCCCCAGGACCCACAGGCCGGAGCUUUUCUGUGCACACCCACAGAGAGAACCCCGCUGAGCCAGGCGCUGUCACAGGCUCCGCCACUGUCACAGCCUUCUGGCGCAGCCUCCUGAGCUGCUGCCAGCUACCCUCCAGGCCAGGGAUCCAUCUUUGCUGAGAAGCCUCCUUCCUGAGACGACAUCUUCACACGAUCUACCUUCCUACCACCACCGCCACCCCACUCCUGCCCUGGCCUCACUGUCCCAGGACCUCCCUUCUAUUUCACGCGUGACGUCAUCGCAGAGGGCGAGGACCCGCGCGAACAGAGCCUCUGAAAGCCCCGCGAGAGCCUGCCCGCCUCGCUUCCCAGAAUCCUCCAAGCAGCAGGGGGCGUGUAGGGCGCAAGUUGGGGGAGCCUUG
Molecule: RNA transcript, 1175 nt
Organism: Nycticebus coucang (slow loris)
Lineage: Eukaryota; Metazoa; Chordata; Mammalia; Primates; Lorisidae
Gene: ASPDH
Gene name: aspartate dehydrogenase domain containing
Exons: 8
Source: RefSeq, a predicted model, not a curated record